RNAcentral lists this ribosomal RNA (850 nucleotides) under uncultured bacterium. Its description in RNAcentral is "bacterial SSU rRNA". It matches the Rfam family "Bacterial small subunit ribosomal RNA", at positions 49 to 897 of the family's 1533-position model. The record is from RNAcentral.
UGCUACCUGCAGUCGACGAGAGCCCGCAAGGGUUGUAAAGUGGCGGACGGGUGCGUAACACGUGGGUAAUCUACCCUAUGGCCUGGGAUAACCUGCCGAAAGGCGGGCUAAUACCGGAUAAGACCACAGCUCUGCGGAGUGGUGGGAAAAGACCCGCAAGGGUCACCGUUUGAUGAGCCCGCGGCCUAUCACGGUAGUUGGUGAGGUAAUGGCUCACCAAGCCUACGACGGGUAGCUGGUCUGAGAGGACGACCAGUCACACUGGAACUGAGACACGGUCCAGACUCCUACGGGAGGCAGCAGUGGGGAAUAUUGCGCAAUGGGCGAAAGCCUGACGCAGCAACGCCGCGUGGGUGAUGAAGGCCUUCGGGUUGUAAAGCCCUGUCGCCCGGGACGAAUAAGCUCGUGAAGAACGAGCCCUGACGGUACCGGGAGAGGAAGCACCGGCUAACUCUGUGCCAGCAGCCGCGGUAAUACAGAGGGUGCUAGCGUUGUUCGGAAUUAUUGGGCGUAAAGGGCGCGUAGGCGGUAUCGCAUGUCCGAUGUGAAAGCCCACCUCUUAAAGGUGGAAUUGCAUCGGAAACUGCGAAACUAGAGUGCCGGAGAGGGUGGUGGAAUUCCUGGUGUAGAGGUGAAAUUCGUAGAUAUCAGGAGGAACACCGGUGGCGAAGGCGGCCACCUGGACGGUAACUGACGCUGAGGCGCGAAAGCGUGGGGAGCAAACAGGAUUAGAUACCCUGGUAGUCCACGCUGUAAACGAUGGGUGCUAGGUGUUGUGGGUAUUGACCCCCGCAGUGCCGUCGCUAACGCAUUAAGCACCCCGCCUGGGGAGUACGGUCGCAAAGACUAA